UUUGGUUGAGUUUUCUGGUGUGACCGUAUUGGUUGGGAUGUUUUUGACUGACAAAACCGUCGUCAUGACGACGAGGAGGAUAAGCAAAAUGUUUCUUCACAGCAAAUUCAACUCUGCCACCUAUGCCAAUGAUAUCGCCAUCAUUUUGUAAUGGAAGCGCCCGUGGUUCUUUUCAGGACUGUUGCACCUGCUUGUUUUCCACCGGCGGCCAGUACAGACCCCGACCAGUAUGUCGAUCAAGAUGCUAUUCUUUUGGGAUGGGGAGAGCCUAACAAAGAUAGCAUCCCCCUUAACCUGGAACAAGCCAAGUUUUCGAUUUCGCCCAACAUUGAAUGCAAGGGGAAUCCGCUUUUUGGUAAAUUUGUUACGGACACAAAUAUCUGUAUAACGAGUGGUGUCAAAUUCACAUGCACAAAUGACGUUUGCGGUCCAGCAGUCAUCCUCCCGUUACCAGGGGCCUGGACCAUAGUCGGAAUCAACAGCUACACCAAGGGUAAAUAUCUGAUUUUAUUUGGUGAAAAUGAAAUAACAAU
This is a long non-coding RNA of Daphnia pulicaria, 533 nucleotides long. RefSeq lists it as uncharacterized. Lineage: Eukaryota; Metazoa; Arthropoda; Branchiopoda; Diplostraca; Daphniidae. The record is from RefSeq and is a predicted model, not a curated record. The transcript is spliced from 4 exons.